GUGAAUGUCGAGAACCCAUCUCGAUUGUUGCUUGAAAUGUGAGGGGUUCGUUACUUUAAUUCUAGCCUUCUAGGGCGCCUUAUCUCAAGAUAUUUAUUUGGUCAUAACCGACAUCUGAGCAUAGAAAUUAAGGUCUAAUGUUAUUUUCUGGAUGCUGAACUUUUGCAUUGGUUUCUGGUGUUUAAAUUUUUCUCGGAAUCAUAAAGAAAUGAACAAAUAAUAAGGAUUUGAAUAGUGAAAUUAUUAGAAUUCAGAAAACACUUUGUCAAUAAGUAAAACACUGUAAAAAUGAUGUCUUGUUCUUUUAUUGCAUGAAAUCUGAAAGUUAAUGUUAGAAUCUGUUAUAUCACGCUCUAUGUGAAUUCUCUGUAUACAUCACUUUUCAGAAAAGAUAUAUUUGAGCAUGAGAAUAGAAUGGUCAGACGUGCGUUUGGUGCAGUAUGUGGUAAGGAAUAAUAUGAUAUGAGUUCUGUUUCUGCUGGAUAAUUGAUUUUCUGCAUAUUGAAUGAAUUCACCAAGUAGGAUUCAUCAAAUUAGCCUGAAAAUUAUGUGCUGUCAUUCGGAAAAGAUCUUUUGGUCAAAGGCUACAUUCUAGAUGUCAAUACAUAUACUGUUAUGAUUCAAGGGUUUUGUAGCCAUGGAUUGUUUGACGAAUCAUUGGCUUUGCUGUCAAAAAUGGAAGUAAAUGGUUGCAUUCCAGACGCCGUUACUUAUGAUAGGUAG
Molecule: long non-coding RNA, 723 nt
Filed under: Medicago truncatula (barrel medic)
Lineage: Eukaryota; Viridiplantae; Streptophyta; Magnoliopsida; Fabales; Fabaceae
Description: lncRNA gene36786
Source: RNAcentral